CAACUUUGACUUCUCUUCAGCGCAUGAUUCUUUCGCCCUUUACUAAAAAAUUUCGUGGAGGGUUGUAAUUCAAUGAGUCUUUGACCACUUUUCCACACCUGACUCUUGUCAGGA
Ciona intestinalis (vase tunicate) is the source of this 114-nucleotide small nuclear RNA. Its record names the gene U5. It matches the Rfam family "U5 spliceosomal RNA". From Rfam's summary of the family: U5 RNA is a component of both types of known spliceosome. The precise function of this molecule is unknown, though it is known that the 5' loop is required for splice site selection and p220 binding, and that both the 3' stem-loop and the Sm site are important for Sm protein binding and cap methylation. The record is from Ensembl. Lineage: Eukaryota; Metazoa; Chordata; Ascidiacea; Phlebobranchia; Cionidae.